RNAcentral lists this ribosomal RNA (109 nucleotides) under Scophthalmus maximus (turbot). Lineage: Eukaryota; Metazoa; Chordata; Actinopteri; Pleuronectiformes; Scophthalmidae. The record is from RNAcentral.
GUUUACGGCCACACCGCCUGGUUCACGCUUGAUCUCGGAAGCUAAGAUAGGUUGGGCCUGGUUAGUACUUGGACGGGAGACGGCCUGGGAAUACCAGGUGCUGUAAGCU